CAGUAGCCACGGUAAUACGAAGGGCGCAAGCGUUAAUCGGAAUUACUGGGCGUAAAGCGUGCGUAGGCGGUGAGUUAAGUCUGCUGUGAAAUCCCCGGGCUCAACCUGGGAAUGGCAAUGGAUACUGGCAAGCUAGAGUGUGUCAGAGGAUGGUGGAAUUCCCGGUGUAGCGGUGAAAUGCGUAGAGAUCGGGAGGAACAUCAGUGGCGAAGGCGGCCAUCUGGGACAACACUGACGCUGAGGCACGAAAGCGUGGGGAGCAAACAGGAUUAGAUACCCGCGUAGUCCCUGUCUCUUAUAC
This 301-nucleotide ribosomal RNA is filed under the name uncultured bacterium. Its description in RNAcentral is "partial 16S ribosomal RNA". It matches the Rfam family "Bacterial small subunit ribosomal RNA", at positions 509 to 807 of the family's 1533-position model. The record is from RNAcentral.